AUCACAUAAUUUCUUCGACCCGAAGGCCCUAAAGCGCGCUACGCCAUGGGCUCAGGGCGGCCUGAAUUUAAUAUUUCAGGCGAGGGCUUUUCCGGAAACAGAUCAUGCCUCCCGUGUUUGGAAAGAAGAAAAAACGCGCGCCCG
RNAcentral lists this non-coding RNA (144 nucleotides) under Candidatus Walliibacteriota. RNAcentral describes it as "Candidatus Wallbacteria MoCo sequence". It matches the Rfam family "Molybdenum/Tungsten riboswitch aptamer (Moco RNA motif)". The record is from RNAcentral.